RNAcentral lists this ribosomal RNA (254 nucleotides) under uncultured bacterium. RNAcentral's name for it is "partial 16S ribosomal RNA". It matches the Rfam family "Bacterial small subunit ribosomal RNA", at positions 524 to 776 of the family's 1533-position model. The record is from RNAcentral.
UACGCAGGGUGCGAGCGUUGUCCGGAAUUAUUGGGCGUAAAGAGCUCGUAGGCGGUGUGUCACGUCGGCCGUGAAAACCUGCAGCUUAACUGUGGGCGUGCGGUCGAUACGGGCAUCACUGGAGUUCGGCAGGGGAGACUGGAAUUCCUGGUGUAGCGGUGAAAUGCGCAGAUAUCAGGAGGAACACCGGUGGCGAAGGCGGGUCUCUGGUCAACAACUGACGCUGAGGAGCGAAAGCGUGGGGAGCGAACAGG